Molecule: ribosomal RNA, 735 nt
Filed under: uncultured Fusobacterium sp.
Lineage: Bacteria; Fusobacteriati; Fusobacteriota; Fusobacteriia; Fusobacteriales; Fusobacteriaceae
Description: bacterial SSU rRNA
Rfam family: Bacterial small subunit ribosomal RNA
Source: RNAcentral
GAUGAACGCUGACAGAAUGCUUAACACAUGCAAGUCUACUUGAAUUUGGGUUUUUAACUUAGGUUUGGGUGGCGGACGGGUGAGUAACGCGUAAAGAACUUGCCUCACAGCUAGGGACAACAUUUAGAAAUGAAUGCUAAUACCUAAUAUUAUGAUAAUAGGGCAUCCUAUAAUUAUGAAAGCUAUAUGCGCUGUGAGAGAGCUUUGCGUCCCAUUAGCUAGUUGGAGAGGUAACGGCUCACCAAGGCGAUGAUGGGUAGCCGGCCUGAGAGGGUGAUCGGCCACAAGGGGACUGAGACACGGCCCUUACUCCUACGGGAGGCAGCAGUGGGGAAUAUUGGACAAUGGACCGAGAGUCUGAUCCAGCAAUUCUGUGUGCACGAUGAAGUUUUUCGGAAUGUAAAGUGCUUUCAGUUGGGAAGAAAGAAAUGACGGUACCAACAGAAGAAGUGACGGCUAAAUACGUGCCAGCAGCCGCGGUAAUACGUAUGUCACGAGCGUUAUCCGGAUUUAUUGGGCGUAAAGCGCGUCUAGGUGGUUAUAUAAGUCUGAUGUGAAAAUGCAGGGCUCAACUCUGUAUUGCGUUGGAAACUGUAUAACUAGAGUACUGGAGAGGUAAGCGGAACUACAAGUGUAGAGGUGAAAUUCGUAGAUAUUUGUAGGAAUGCCGAUGGGGAAGCCAGCUUACUGGACAGAUACUGACGCUGAAGCGCGAAAGCGUGGGUAGCAAACAGG